RNAcentral lists this long non-coding RNA (1015 nucleotides) under Mytilus galloprovincialis (Mediterranean mussel). Lineage: Eukaryota; Metazoa; Mollusca; Bivalvia; Mytilida; Mytilidae. The record is from RNAcentral.
CAGAUAACAGAAAUCUUCAUCAUUUAAGGAAUCCAUGAAAGUCGCAGCAGAAAUAGGUGAGAAUGACGGAUAAAAAUUCAAGAGAUUGCAUGAAUACAUGACAUACAUAGGUGAAAACAUUACAACAUAGAUCACGGAUUUGUAAAGUAGUACUAUAUAAAAUUCCUUGCACAGAUUAAUAUCUGUGAUCGUAUUUUGAACUAACGUACGAAAACAUGAUCAUGAAGGGAUACUAUGCAAUUUGCAUGUUUAUGCAAAUACAGAAAAUCUAAUGCGACUCGAGGCUGGAAUAUUUUAUGUAUCUCCUUAAAUACAUUAAAGUGAAUGCCCACAUGCAUGCGUUGCUGACAUUCACUUAUACAGAGCUGUAAACUAUUCGCUUCCAUAUUACAUGAUAUACACAGUGAAGGAAAUUUUCCGCUAGACUGUUUUUAAUAAGUAAAUCAACACAAUAAUUUGUAAAAUUUGAUGCACAAUAGUUGUUUCGAUGAUUCAAAUAUUUUAGUUCUGAAAGUCUACGUAUGAAUGCGAAAUGAAAUGGCUAAUUGCGAUAAAUUACAAAUUCAUUUGAAGAACAGUAACUCGCGUUCAUUACUAAGUAACUAAUUAUUAUGCAAAGCAAGGUUUAAAAUUCAAUUCAAUUCUUUAUUUACACUCAGACACAAAAUAUGUUACAUGAGGACAAAAGACUGGAAACCAGUAACAACAUUAAAACAGUUGCCUUUGGUAGGACUUUGAAAUGAUAUACAAUGCAACCAGAACAAAUUAAACAUAUGAUGAUAUAGUUACUUAUAAUUUUCUUGACUGUCGUUAAACUUUUUUAAGAUUUCUAAAUGAUAUAAUUUCUACAAUGAUUUUGUUUUAGGAAACGUUAAAAAGUGGAAAAAGAAGAAGUUUACUAGAAAAAACAUAUUGAUAAAGAUUUUGAAGAUCUUAAAACAUCAAUUUCAGUUUGCAAAACACGUGUUUGCUCGAAACAGAAUUUGAACUCAUAACAUGUCUGUGAGCACCAAAC